RNAcentral lists this ribosomal RNA (276 nucleotides) under uncultured bacterium. RNAcentral's name for it is "partial 16S ribosomal RNA". It matches the Rfam family "Bacterial small subunit ribosomal RNA", at positions 524 to 794 of the family's 1533-position model. The record is from RNAcentral.
UACGGAGGAUCCGAGCGUUAUCCGGAUUUAUUGGGUUUAAAGGGUGCGUAGGUGGUUUUAUAAGUCAGCGGUGAAAGUUUGCAGCUUAAACUGUAAAAAUGCCGUUGAAACUGUCGGACUUGAGUGUAAAUGAGGUAGGCGGAAUGCGUGGUGUAGCGGUGAAAUGCAUAGAUAUCACGCAGAACUCCGAUUGCGAAAGGCAGCUUACUAAAGCUACAACUGACACUGAAGCACGAAAAGCGUGGGGAUCAAAACAGGAUUAGAUACCCCUGUAGU